Molecule: ribosomal RNA, 253 nt
Filed under: uncultured bacterium
Lineage: Bacteria
Description: partial 16S ribosomal RNA
Rfam family: Bacterial small subunit ribosomal RNA
Source: RNAcentral
UACAGAGGUCUCAAGCGUUGUUCGGAUUCAUUGGGCGUAAAGGGUGCGUAGGUGGCGUGGAAAGUUGAGUGUGAAAUCCUAGGGCUUAACCUGGGAACUGCGUUUGAAACUACAAGACUAGAGUGUAGCAGAGGGGGGUGGAAUUCCACGUGUAGCAGUGAAAUGCGUAGAGAUGUGGAGGAACACCGAUGGCGAAGGCAGCCCCCUGGGUUAACACUGACGCUCAGGCACGAAAGCAUGGGGAGCAAACAGG